UCUCAAGUAGUUAGUGAAAUAGCUAGCUGCUCCAUCAUAAAAGUCACAAGUUUUCUGUGCCUUCUGGGAAAUACUGACUAGUAUUUCCUGUCCCUGGGGAGCAGCACCCCCAAGAGGGCUGUGUGGCAUGAACUUGGCAGAGUGAUGGAAACCAGAGCCUGGGAGCCACUGCUCUGCCAAGUACCCAGGCUGUGCACAGUGGACACUUAGGAGGGGGUCACUGCUCGGAAGUAGGCGUUUCCUUGGUGGCCACAAACACCAAGGGUUUCUGCAUGUUCACACUGUCAGUUAUUUAGCAAUAACCAGAUUUUU
Long non-coding RNA from Ochotona princeps (American pika), 312 nucleotides. RefSeq lists it as uncharacterized. NCBI's taxonomy places the organism in Eukaryota, Metazoa, Chordata, Mammalia, Lagomorpha, Ochotonidae. The transcript is spliced from 2 exons. The record is from RefSeq and is a predicted model, not a curated record.